RNAcentral lists this long non-coding RNA (3416 nucleotides) under Marmota monax (woodchuck). Lineage: Eukaryota; Metazoa; Chordata; Mammalia; Rodentia; Sciuridae. The record is from RNAcentral.
CUUUCCCAUAGUCCCCCAGCUAUGCUGGCCAGGGGCCUUUGGGGGCACAGCCCUGUGUAGAUUUGUUUGUUUUCUUCUUGACCCUGGUGACAGGGCUCUGGGAAGCCUUGGGUCUGGCUUUUCCAGUUGGCCCUUGAGAGGAUGAGGGUGCGGAUGGACUUUGACCUGCUAGCUUGAGAGGCCUUCCUGCUGAGCAGGGAGCAGAGAGCUGGGUGCUGGGCGCUCUCCCACUGACCUCUGCCUGCCCUCUGCAGGUGGAGAAACGGCGGGUCAGCCUGCCCAGAAUCCUGUCCACACCGCCUGUGGCUGGCACUGUGUGUCAUGCAUAUGACCGAGAGGUCCAUCUACACUGUGAGCUCCCCCCUGGCUACUACCUGGCUGUCCCCAGCACCUUCCUGAAGGACAUGCCAGGGCAGUUCCUGCUCCGAGUUUUCUCCACAGGCAAAGUCUCCCUCAGGUGAGGAGCCAGUGGCAGCUGUGAGCAAGGGUUCAUCCGGGGAUGGGACUCUGGUGGCUGCCCUGGUUGGGCACAGUCCUCAGACAGGCUGCUAGCACCCUCCUCCGCUCGUCCCUCCACAGUGCUGUCAGGCCAGCAGCCAAGGGCGCCUCCCCUGGGGCAGCCCUGCCCUCCGGCGAGUGGGAGACCCUGCAGCUGCGGGGCUGCUGGAGAGCAGGCCGGACAGCAGGGGGCAGCAGGAACUUCGCCUCCUACCUCUGCAACCCCUGCCUCCCUUUCUCGGUCCCCGAGGGCUCCAGUCCCCGAUGCAUCCGAAUCACCCUGCACCAGCACUGCCCGCUCAGUGACAGCCAGCUGCAUCCCAUUGGCUUUCAUGUCUUCCAGGUGGGCUCCUCAGCAAGGGACAGGUACGGGGAGGCCCAGGCAACCCAUGUCUGUCCCAUGUUGUCCCAGUAAUCAGCUGCCUGGGAGGCAGAGCCUGGGCUCAGUUGGGCACAUCAGCCCAGCUGGCUGGUCUCAUGGGAGGCUGGUCUCUAGGUUUCUAAGGCUGUAUUUGCUGGGGUCAGCUCAGAUGGCCCUUGGCCACUCACCCUGGCUCGGAACAUCUGUGUCCUGAGGUCAAUUCUCCCCAGAGCAUGCCCCCUACCCCAGGAUCCUGGACCCUGGAGGCUGCUCAGGGGAUUCUGGGCAGACACCCAGCCUCACCAUGGAUCUGGCCCCAGCCAGCAAUUUCAGAGAAGCCCUACCCACUGGUGCAACAGGGAGUGAACACACCCAGGAGCCACCCAGGUCAUACCACCUGCCCCUCCCAUGUCACUGAGCGCCCUGGGUGGGACUGGCAAGAGCUGCACCCCAGUGGGGGGCAGUGGAAGUCAGAGCAGCGAUGGCCUGGUCUGGAAGAAGGGGUGUGUGGGGCCAGAGGAGCAGACAGUGGGGUGAGCUGCUCCCGCAACCAGCAGGCAGAGGAGAGGUGGGGGUGCCCUCAGGGAGGCCAGCAGCCCGAGGGUGCCCCUGGAGCUACCGGAGCCUGCAGCUGGGGUCAGCCCUGCACAGGUGAGUCGGGAAGGAGGCAGCCGGGCAAAGUGAUAGUCGCCCCAGUGUCAUUCCAGAGGGCGGCGCAUCAGUCCAGGUCAGCCCUGGGAGGGGUAGGGUCAGGAAGCAGAGGUCAUGCCAAGGGACCUCGCCAUGGGCCAUUCUGGUGACACUGCUGCUCAUGCUUAGCCAUUCCUGCAGGUGGAGGUGGCUCAGGCUCCUGCCAGGGAAGGGCUGAUCAGACCUCACCCGGUGCCUUCCUCAGCCCGGCUCUGUCCUGCCCCUGCUAUAGCCAGCCAGGGGAGGCACACUUAGCAGAUCUGGAGGGGGAGGGAGAGUUCAUGUCUCAGGGUCACAGGCCCUGAGUUCUGUGGGGACAGUUCUGGGGCUCCCAGCCCACACGGAGCUGUGCUUGUCCUGGGAGGACAAUGGCUGAGGAUGUCCUGGGCUAUAGCUGGUGGGAACACAUGGCCUGGCAAGCAGUGACCAAGAGAAGAGAGCGGGAUUUCUGGUAAGAGGGUCGGUGCCUCCCCCGGAGGAGCCACUGAGCCCAGAGAGCUGAGGAAGACACUGGGACCUUGCCCGGUGCUGCGUGCUGUGUGGGCCACCAGGAAGGAGCUCAGACCAAAAUGCCAGUGCCCAGGGGCUGCUGGCCAGAGCACUCUGGGUUGGGGUCUGGGCAGUGGUACGUGCCGACCACAGAGCUGAUCUGAGGUUCUUGGGCUUGGUGCCACUGCCAGGGCCUUCUGGCAAGGGUGGUCCAACUUCAGUGGGAGGGAGGUUCAGUGUGUGGGCCUGGCACUUGCUCCCCAGAAAAGGGGUGCAUGUGAUUCAGGAGGGCCAGGCAUCAGCAUCUUGGGAUCCAGCAGACUCCAGCUGCUGCUGCCUGGGCAGUGCCCCCAUCCAUACAGCCGCCUCAGGCUGAGCCCUGCACCCUCCAGGUCCCUGCAGGUGGCGAGAGGCAGGGUGCAGGCCCCCUGCUGCUCCAGGAGCCACUGCUGAGCUGUGUGCCACAUCGCUAUGCCCAGGAGGUGAGCCGGCUCUGCCUGCUGUCUGCGGGCACCUACAGGGUCGUGCCCUCCACCUACUGGCCUGACACCGAGGGCUCCUUCAUGGUGACCAUAGCAACCAGAGUGGACAGGUGCGGCUCUGGGCCUUGGGAUGACCAGCAGGUGUUCUUGGCCCUGAGCACUCAGCAGCCUUCCCCGUCUGGUUCUCUGCUGACCCAAGGCAUGAAUGGGCCUGCUUGCCUGGCUGAGCUGGGAGGAGGGUCUGGUGAGAGGCCAGCCGGGAGCAGGUGGCCCCCGGUGAGCUGCCCUCUCUCCACAGGCGGUCCAUUCACAGCCAGGAGAUGCUGGGCCAGGUCCUCCAGGAGGUGCGUGCAGCCCCUGCCUGCAGCCCCCAGCAGCCUUGCAUCCCAGUGCCUGAGGCCCCUCCCAGCUGCCUCACUCAGUGGCCUCUGCUACCCUGAGUCACAGGGCAGAGCUUGCAGGGACUUGGGGGCUGGGCUGUCACAGUCCCUAGGGGCAUUUGGGGGGGGGGUGGGAGCAGCCCUGAGCCCACCUUUCCGUCCCUCUUGCAGGUUUCCCUCACUGCAGUGAUGAAGGCCUAGCCGGGCUCCCACGGGGCAGCUCUGGGGGCUGGAGCUGGCCAAGCCUUGACCUGCCUCAGCUCUGCAGGGUGGCCACAGCUUGGGUCCCGAGUGAGGUGCUCUGUCCUGGAGAGAGGGAGUCUUGGGGUGGCACAGGUGCUGCAGGAGGGUCAGGAAGUCCUGUGGUGUCUGUCCCAUGCCCAAGACCCCAGGGUCCCUUCCACAUGGUCCUGCCAACUCCAGGCGGGCACGUGUUGUAACAGGUGUUGCUGGGAGCUGUUUAUCACUUGAAAUAUCUUUUAGGACAUGACUAUAAAUAAACACGAGCAGUUUGUG